GCUGAACAAACAUACAUGGGGAACACUUUGCUGCACAGCCUGGUGACAUCCAGCCAUCCUCCAUCAUUGUCAAUGACGCCGGCGUGCAGCGCGGCUCCACACACACUGGAUUGCUGGGUCAUUUGCAAAGGCAAGGAAAUACACAGCAAGGAAGAAGAUGUGGACCACAGCGGACCAGGACUUGAUGAGCUGGUCCAGACGGGGUCAACUUAGACGGUUUCCACUGUGUAAUACAAUGAUUGCAUCAUUGUUGGUGAUCAUUUACCAUGUCAUAAAAUGUGCUCCCGACUACUUUUCCGUGUCUGUCAAGGCAGCCGGGCGGACACUCGUAUCUGGGCAGGGUCAGUUAAAGCAGAGUCAGCGGUUGUUGUAGAAAUGCAAUCUUAUGAACGCCACGAAUCUCAUCAUCGGCAUUGAACAUACCUGUUACAAGUUGUGCCCUUGCACCGAUCCCUCAGCUUGGUGUCACAGUCCAUCUGCUGGGCUGCAAGAACAACAUCGCCGAGAGUUACAAUUCCAAAGUAACACCCAGGAAAAGGAACAUUCCUUACACAUCUGCUCCGUGCUGACGACUCUGUUUCUGUCUGCGUCCUCCGAGGGCGCUGAGGGGUUUGGUGCUUGGACUCUUGGUUGGGGCUCCCUCUCUCUCACUGCGUCAGGCUCUGGUUCGAUGUAGUUGGUCUCCUCCGUCUCCACAGCCGGAUGCCUGUCAGUGCCCCCACCUGUGGAAAUAUGGGCUAAUAACUAUAAAAGCAAUCUUCACUCGCUAAAUGUUCUGCAAAAAAGGUCAGUAAGGAUAAUUCAUAAUGCCGCCUACAGAGAACAUACUAACUCCUUAUUUGUAAAAUCACAAAUACUUCAACUUGCUGAUAUAGUUCAUCUUCAAACAGCUAAAAUAAUGCAUAAGGCUAAAAAUAACCAAUUAGCUAAAAAUGUCAUCCAAUACUUCUCUACAAGAGAGGAGAAAUAUGAUCUCAGGGAAGAGUACAUUUGAAACACUUCUAUGCUAGGACUACGUUAAAAAGCCAUAGCAUUUCAGUAUGUGGAAUCAAACUAUGGAAUGGAUUGAGUAAGGACCUCAAACAAUGCACAACGAUGAGCCAAUUCAAGAAACAAUACAAGCAGUUGAUGUUUGCUAAAUACAAGGAUGAAGAGUCUUGAACCAGUCAUGAUGUGCUAUAUACAUAUAUCACUAUAUUGACACUUACUAUGGUACCCAUUAUGGUAUGGUCAUAUCACCUCGUACUUCGGUACGUGACAAAAAAAAAAACCAUAAACCAUAUUAGGAAAGCAGGAAGUGAACAAAUGUAACAGUUACUGAUUGUAAAAGUACCAGAUGGAGGGGUAGGAUUUAAUAAGCUUUGCUUCUUCCUACUCCUUUUGGACAUGUGGAACUGUGAACUGAUUAUGGGAUGCAUUCAAUUGUAAUCUGAUGCAUGUUCAAAUGAAAUUAAACCAUUACCAUUACCUGAAAACAUUGCGACCAAUGUUCAACGAUCAUUUGUCAAUGGGUCGAAGUGCUUGUGUUUGCUACCAAAUUUUAUGGACUUUUCAUAUCCAUCCAUUUUCUGUACCGCUUAUCCUCACGAGGGUCGCUGGUAUGUUGGAGCCUAUCCCAGCUGUCUUCGG
This is a long non-coding RNA of Doryrhamphus excisus (bluestripe pipefish), 1629 nucleotides long. RefSeq lists it as uncharacterized. The record is from RefSeq and is a predicted model, not a curated record. Lineage: Eukaryota; Metazoa; Chordata; Actinopteri; Syngnathiformes; Syngnathidae.